Molecule: ribosomal RNA, 371 nt
Filed under: uncultured fungus
Lineage: Eukaryota; Fungi
Description: eukaryotic LSU rRNA
Rfam family: Eukaryotic large subunit ribosomal RNA
Source: RNAcentral
AUAUCAAUAAGCGGAGGAAAAGAAACUAACAAGGAUUCCCCUAGUAACGGCGAGUGAAGCGGGAUGAGCUCAAAUUUAAAAUCUGGCUGGUUUACUAGUCCGAGUUGUAGUUUAUAGAAGCGUUUUCGGUGGCAGCCUCGGGUAUAAAGUCCUUUGGAAUAGGGCUAUCAUCAGAGGGUGAGAAUCCCGUCUUUGACUGCAGAAUGCAUGCUACUAUGUGAUACGUUUUCAAAGAGUCGAGUUGUUUGGGAAUGCAGCUCAAAAUGGGUGGUAAAUUUCAUCUAAAGGCUAAAUAUUGGCGAGAGACCGAUAGCGAACAAGUACCGUGAGGGAAAGAUGAAAAGAACUUUGAAAAGAGAGUUAAACAGUGC